This 506-nucleotide ribosomal RNA is filed under the name uncultured eukaryote. Its description in RNAcentral is "bacterial SSU rRNA". It matches the Rfam family "Eukaryotic small subunit ribosomal RNA", at positions 592 to 1007 of the family's 1831-position model. The record is from RNAcentral.
CAAUAGCGUAUAUUAAAGUUGUUGCAGUUAAAAAGCUCGUAGUUGGAUCUUGGAGGUGCGUGGGAUUUGGUCCGCCUCGAAGGCGAGUACUGGUCCCUGCCCUCUAUAUGUGGCAACAACGUACAGAUGUCCUUAAGUGUGAUGUUUGUUUCCGGGAGGGGCGACCCGACUGGGAGGUUCGGGACGGUUUUGGGGCGAUGCGCUUCGGUGUGUUGUUCUGGGCUGUUUCGAGCAAUGUUUUGCCUAUUUCACCUUGAAGAAAUUAGAGUGUUCAAAGCAGCGCUUAGGCGCAUUGAAUAUUGCAGCAUGGGAUGAUAGAAGAGGACAGACGUCUUAUUUUGUUGGUUUUAUAAGACGAUUGUAAUGAUAGAAGGGGACAGUUGGGGGCGUUUGUAUUGAGAUGUCAGAGGUGAAAUUCUUAGAUUAUCUCAAGACAAACUUCUGCGAAAGCAUUCGCCUAGGAUGUUUUCAUCAAUCAAGAACGAAAGUUGGGGGAUCGAAGAUGA